GAUGAACGCUGGCGGCGUGCCUAAUACAUGCAAGUCGAACGAGUUCUCGUUGAUGAUCGGUGCUUGCACCGAGAUUCAACAUGGAACGAGUGGCGGACGGGUGAGUAACACGUGGGUAACCUGCCCUUAAGUGGGGGAUAACAUUUGGAAACAGAUGCUAAUACCGCAUAGAUCCAAGAACCGCAUGGUUCUUGGCUGAAAGAUGGCGUAAGCUAUCGCUUUUGGAUGGACCCGCGGCGUAUUAGCUAGUUGGUGAGGUAAUGGCUCACCAAGGCGAUGAUACGUAGCCGAACUGAGAGGUUGAUCGGCCACAUUGGGACUGAGACACGGCCCAAACUCCUACGGGAGGCAGCAGUAGGGAAUCUUCCACAAUGGACGCAAGUCUGAUGGAGCAACGCCGCGUGAGUGAAGAAGGCUUUCGGGUCGUAAAACUCUGUUGUUGGAGAAGAAUGGUCGGCAGAGUAACUGUUGUCGGCGCGACGGUAUCCAACCAGAAAGCCACGGCUAACUACGUGCCAGCAGCCGCGGUAAUACGUAGGUGGCAAGCGUUAUCCGGAUUUAUUGGGCGUAAAGCGAGCGCAGGCGGUUUUUUAAGUCUGAUGUGAAAGCCUCGGCUUAACCGAGGAAGCGCAUCGGAAACUGGGAAACUUGAGUGCAGAAGAGGACAGUGGAACUCCAUGUGUAGCGGUGAAAUGCGUAGAUAUAUGGAAGAACACCAGUGGCGAAGGCGGCUGUCUGGUCUGUAACUGACGCUGAGGCUCGAAAGCAUGGGUAGCGAACAGGAUUAGAUACCCUGGUAGUCCAUGCCGUAAACGAUGAAUGCUAGGUGUUGGAGGGUUUCCGCCCUUCAGUGCCGCAGCUAACGCAUUAAGCAUUCCGCCUGGGGAGUACGACCGCAAGGUUGAAACUCAAAGGAAUUGACGGGGGCCCGCACAAGCGGUGGAGCAUGUGGUUUAAUUCGAAGCAACGCGAAGAACCUUACCAGGUCUUGACAUCUUUUGAUCACCUGAGAGAUCAGGUUUCCCCUUCGGGGGCAAAAUGACAGGUGGUGCAUGGUUGUCGUCAGCUCGUGUCGUGAGAUGUUGGGUUAAGUCCCGCAACGAGCGCAACCCUUAUGACUAGUUGCCAGCAUUUAGUUGGGCACUCUAGUAAGACUGCCGGUGACAAACCGGAGGAAGGUGGGGAUGACGUCAAAUCAUCAUGCCCCUUAUGACCUGGGCUACACACGUGCUACAAUGGAUGGUACAACGAGUUGCGAGACCGCGAGGUCAAGCUAAUCUCUUAAAGCCAUUCUCAGUUCGGACUGUAGGCUGCAACUCGCCUACACGAAGUCGGAAUCGCUAGUAAUCGCGGAUCAGCACGCCGCGGUGAAUACGUUCCCGGGCCUUGUACACACCGCCCGUCACACCAUGAGAGUUUGUAACACCCGAAGCCGGUGGCGUAACCCUUUUAGGGAGCGAGCCGUCUAAGGUGGGACAAAUGAUUAGGGUG
RNAcentral lists this ribosomal RNA (1491 nucleotides) under Lacticaseibacillus paracasei. Its description in RNAcentral is "bacterial SSU rRNA". It matches the Rfam family "Bacterial small subunit ribosomal RNA". The record is from RNAcentral. Lineage: Bacteria; Bacillati; Bacillota; Bacilli; Lactobacillales; Lactobacillaceae.